This 81-nucleotide transfer RNA is filed under the name Nanobdellota archaeon. RNAcentral describes it as "tRNA-Ser". It matches the Rfam family "tRNA". Rfam says of the family: Transfer RNA (tRNA) molecules are approximately 80 nucleotides in length. Their secondary structure includes four short double-helical elements and three loops (D, anti-codon, and T loops). The record is from RNAcentral. Lineage: Archaea; Nanobdellati; Nanobdellota.
GCCUUCGUCGCAUAAUGGUAUUGCACGAGAUUGCUAAUCUCGACCCUUCGGGGUUCCUGGGUUCGAUUCCCAGCGAAGGCG